This is a long non-coding RNA of Solea senegalensis (Senegalese sole), 255 nucleotides long. RefSeq lists it as uncharacterized. The record is from RefSeq and is a predicted model, not a curated record. The transcript has 3 exons. NCBI's taxonomy places the organism in Eukaryota, Metazoa, Chordata, Actinopteri, Pleuronectiformes, Soleidae.
UGCCAACCUUCCAUUGGAUGUGCAGUGGAAUGAUUUGGAUUACGCAGACAAGCGAAGGAUUUUCACUUUUGAUCCCUGUUGAUUUGGUGACCUCCCAGAGAUGGUGGAAGAAUUCCAUAGGCGAGGCAUGAAGUACAUCCUUAUUCUGGACCCAGGGAUCAGUAGCACUAGCCCCACUGGAACUUACCCUCCCUUUGAUGAUGGCCUGAAACGAGACGUCUUCAUUAAAAAUGUCACAGGACACAUUUUGAUCGG